GAAAGGCGAUAAGUAAUGUGAAUUGCAGAAUUCAGUGAAUCAUCGAAUCUUUGAACGCACCUUGCGCUCCUUGGUAUUCCUUGGAGCAUGCCUGUUUGAGUAUCAUGAAAUCUUCAAAGUAAAUCUUUUGUUAACUCAAUUGGUUUCUACUUUGGUAUUGGAGGUCUUUGCAGCUUCACACCUGCUCCUCUUUGUUCAUUAGCUGGAUCUCAGUGUUAUGCUUGGUUCCACUCGGCGUGAUAAGUUAUCUAUCGCUGAGGACACUGUAAAAGGUGGCCAAGGUAAAUGCAGAUGAACCGCUUCUAAUAGUCCAUUGACUUGGACAAUACUUUUAUGAUCUGAUCUCAAAUCAGGUAGGACUACCCGCUGAACUUAAGC
This 378-nucleotide unclassified non-coding RNA is filed under the name plant metagenome. Its description in RNAcentral is "partial contains 5.8S ribosomal RNA, internal transcribed spacer 2, and large subunit ribosomal RNA". The stretch from base 1 to 105 matches the Rfam family "5.8S ribosomal RNA", at positions 50 to 154 of the family's 154-position model. The record is from RNAcentral.